CAUGAUCCAAGAGUUCAGUAUUGUACAGCACACUGAAUCAUGAUACAAGGCCACCACUAUCGGCCAAAUAUCAAAUUCCUGGACUGUUCCCUGACCUAGACAUGUACAGGUAUUACAUUAACUGCGUAAAGGAGGAGAGCACACUAAUGCACACUAUCCCCACGUGGAGAAGCAUGGCGAAAGGACGACGACUGACAAUUUAUCCAAAGAUUGGAAUUAUUAUUUUGGAAAAAGACGAGGGACUUCUGGUGGAAGAUUCACUCUGUGUGACACGAGGACAAAAACUGGCAGAGAAACACAGGAACACGUCUAACGCGCUCAGUUUCACGACCACCAUUCAGUGCAGUUCAGGGAGAUAAAGCAGUGCUGGAUCAUCAGCCCACAGUCUCAGAGGAUUCAGCCACAGUCUUCACCUGCAUCCAUUUAUUUGUGCUCAGAUGUUUGAGAAUUGCCUUAACACUCACUUGUACUCGAUGUACGAAAUCUGCUGGAAUUCUUCUCCAGUUUCUAGAACAAUACGGACCCCUGCUAUUCAGGCAGCCAUCUUUGAGUAGCGUUUGAGAAAGCCAAUAGAAAGCAACGAUGAUGACGACAUCAUAAGAUUUCUUAAGCUUACUGCUUUGGACCCACACCUUCAGCACAAAUUUGAAGCGGCAACAGGGUCUGGAUCUCCUUAUCAUGCCUAAAAAAAGCUAAUCGUGCCUAAUUAAGAGAAACACUGGCUCACCUUCAACCUCUGAAGCCUGGUCGUCACUGCAGUGGUCUGAUGAUAUCUGAGGGGAGAAGUCAUACACCGCUCUCCUCUUCCUCUUGAUCUGAGGUGAGGGCUGU
Molecule: long non-coding RNA, 831 nt
Organism: Danio aesculapii
Lineage: Eukaryota; Metazoa; Chordata; Actinopteri; Cypriniformes; Danionidae
Exons: 4
Source: RefSeq, a predicted model, not a curated record